RNAcentral lists this long non-coding RNA (824 nucleotides) under Sorghum bicolor (sorghum). Its description in RNAcentral is "long non-coding RNA (SBIC_LNC011145)". Lineage: Eukaryota; Viridiplantae; Streptophyta; Magnoliopsida; Poales; Poaceae. The record is from RNAcentral.
GCAAAUUUUUUGUUUUUAGCUACUGUAGCACUUUCGUUUUUAUUUGACAAAUAUUGUCCAAUCACAGAGUAACUAGGCUCAAAAGAUUCAUCUCACAAAUUACAGAUAAACUGUACAAUUAGUUUUUAUUUUCGUCUAUAUUUAAUGCUCCAUGCAUGUGACCAAAGAUUUGAUGUGACGGGGAAUCUUAAAUUUUUUUGCAAACUAAACAAGGCCUUAGUAUCAUUAGAAAGAUCUUUGAAUUUAGUUUUUUAAUAAAUUUAUUUAGAGAUAAAAAUAUUGCACGUAUUUUCUAUAAAUCGAGUUUAAACUUAUAGCAUGCACACCAACAAUGACAGCUAUUAAGGAACAAAGAGAAUAUGUCGAAUCUAAUUACUAGAAAAAAAAACCAAAUUGCCUUAAUGGGUCAAUAUGAACUUUUUUUAGAAAGGAGAUUAACUCAGCUUUUAAGAAAGCGAAUAACAGAGUCUUUACAUAUUAGGGAUACCAGUUUAAAAAUGUAGUGAAAAAAAAGCAAAAACAAAAACAAAAACAAAAACAAACUCAGCAACUCGGCGGAACUUCAAACCUGGGAAGCAAACUUGCACCAAACCAAGCAACCAACCCUAGGACAAGAUCCUACCCCAUCGAAACUGAAGACACAAGUCUAAGGGUGUGUUUGGUUGGGCUGUGACUUUUGGAAAAACUACUGUGAGCUUUGAGCUUUUGAAAAGCUGCUGUGGGAUGUGGGUUUUGAAAAAUCCAAAAGUCAUUUGGUUGGUCACUUGUAACUUUUGGAAAAAAAACUGAACAGAUCCCAAAAGUUAGUGAAAGCAGGGGGUGAG